GUAGUCCACGCCGUAAACGGUGGGUACUAGGUGUGGGUUUCCUUCCUUGGGAUCCGUGCCGUAGCUAACGCAUUAAGUACCCCGCCUGGGGAGUACGGCCGCAAGGCUAAAACUCAAAGAAAUUGACGGGGGCCCGUACAAGCGGCGGAGCAUGUGGAUUAAUUCGAUGCAACGCGAAGAACCUUACCUGGGUUUGACAUGCACAGGACGCUGGUAGAGAUAUCAGUUCCCUUGUGGCCUGUGUGCAGGUGGUGCAUGGCUGUCGUCAGCUCGUGUCGUGAGAUGUUGGGUUAAGUCCCGCAACGAGCGCAACCCUUGUCCUAUGUUGCCAGCGGGUUAUGCCGGGGACUCGUAGGAGACUGCCGGGGUCAACUCGGAGGAAGGUGGGGAUGACGUCAAGUCAUCAUGCCCCUUAUGUCCAGGGCUUCACACAUGCUACAAUGGCCGGUACAAAGGGCUGCGAUGCCGUGAGGUGGAGCGAAUCCUUGUAAAGCCGGUCUCAGUUCGGAUCGGGGUCUGCAACUCGACCCCGUGAAGUCGGAGUCGCUAGUAAUCGCAGAUCAGCAACGCUGCGGUGAAUA
This 581-nucleotide ribosomal RNA is filed under the name uncultured Mycobacterium sp. RNAcentral describes it as "bacterial SSU rRNA". It matches the Rfam family "Bacterial small subunit ribosomal RNA", at positions 790 to 1368 of the family's 1533-position model. The record is from RNAcentral. Lineage: Bacteria; Bacillati; Actinomycetota; Actinomycetes; Mycobacteriales; Mycobacteriaceae.